AUACGGAGGAUCCGAGCGUUAUCCGGAUUUAUUGGGUUUAAAGGGUGCGCAGGCGGCCAUUUAAGUCAGCUGUGAAAGUUUGGGGCUCAACCUUAAAAUUGCAGUUGAUACUGGUUUCCUUGAGUACGGUACAGGUGGGCGGAAUUCGUGGUGUAGCGGUGAAAUGCUUAGAUAUCACGAAGAACUCCGAUCGCGAAGGCAGCUCACCGGGCCGGAACUGACACUGAUGCUCGAAAGUGUGGGUAUCAAACAGGAUUAGAUACCCUGGUAGUCCGCACAGUAAACGAUGAAUACUCGCUGUUUGCGAUACACUGUAAGCGGCCAAGCGAAAGCGUUAAGUAUUCCACCUGGGGAGUACGCCGGCAACGGUGAAACUUAAAGGAAUGGACGGGG
Molecule: ribosomal RNA, 393 nt
Filed under: uncultured bacterium
Lineage: Bacteria
Description: partial 16S ribosomal RNA
Rfam family: Bacterial small subunit ribosomal RNA
Source: RNAcentral